RNAcentral lists this ribosomal RNA (424 nucleotides) under uncultured bacterium. RNAcentral's name for it is "bacterial SSU rRNA". It matches the Rfam family "Bacterial small subunit ribosomal RNA", at positions 355 to 796 of the family's 1533-position model. The record is from RNAcentral.
UUGGGAAUCUUGGACAAUGGAGGAAACUCUGAUCCAGCCAUGCCGCGUGAGUGAUGAAGGCCUUCGGGUUGUAAAACUCUUUCGACGGGGACGAUAAUGACGGUACCCGUAGAAGAAGCUCCGGCUAACUUCGUGCCAGCAGCCGCGGUAAUACGAAGGGGGCUAGCGUUGUUCGGAAUUACUGGGCGUAAAGCGCGCGCAGGUGGCCAUCCAAGUCAGGGGUGAAAGCCCGGAGCUCAACUCCGGAAUUGCCUUUGAAACUGUAGAGCUUGAGUACGGGAGAGGUGAGUGGAAUUCCCAGUGUAGAGGUGAAAUUCGUAGAUAUUGGGAAGAACACCGGUGGCGAAGGCGGCUCACUGGCCCGUUACUGACACUCAUGCGCGACAGCGUGGGGAUCAAACAGGAUUAGAUACCCCGGUAGUCC